This 468-nucleotide ribosomal RNA is filed under the name uncultured bacterium. RNAcentral describes it as "partial 16S ribosomal RNA". It matches the Rfam family "Bacterial small subunit ribosomal RNA", at positions 28 to 507 of the family's 1533-position model. The record is from RNAcentral.
GACGAACGCUGGCGGCGUGCUUAACACAUGCAAGUCGAACGGUGAACCCCUUCGGAGGGGAGCAGUGGCGAACGGGAGAGUGACACGUAGGCAACCGGCCCCCGGCCCUGAGAUAACUACAAGAAAUUGGGGCUAAUGCCGGUAGCUCACCGGUGCUCGCGUGGCAGGGGGGGGGAAGGGUUUCUGGCGCGGGUGGGGAUGGAGGCGAAGCAGCGCGGCGUGUUGGUGGGGGCGUGGCAUACCAAGGCCAUGACGGGUAGCCGGCCUGAGAGGGUGACCGGCCACACUGGGACUGAGAUACGGCCCAGACUCCUACGGGAGGCAGCAGUGGGGAAUAUUGCGCAAUGGGCGGAAGCCUGACGCAGCGACGCCGCGUGCGGGAUGACGGCCUUCGGGUUGUAAACCUCUUUCGCCAGGGACGAAGCGCAAGUGACGGUAAUUGGUGAAGAAGCACCGGCCAACUACGUG